GUGGGGAAUAUUGGACAAUGGGGGCAACCCUGAUCCAGCAAUGCCGCGUGUGUGAAGAAGGCCUGCGGGUUGUAAAGCACUUUCAGUUGAGAAGAAAAAAUAAAGGUUAAUACCCUUUAUCUUGACGUAACCAACAGAAGAAGCACCGGCUAACUCCGUGCCAGCAGCCGCGGUAAUACGGAGGGUGCAAGCGUUAAUCGGAAUUACUGGGCGUAAAGCGCGCGUAGGCGGUUCGAUAAGUCGGAUGUGAAAUCCCCGGGCUCAACCUGGGAAUUGCAUUCGAAACUGUCGAGCUAGAGUGUGGAAGAGGGAAGUGGAAUUCCAGGUGUAGCGGUGAAAUGCGUAGAUAUCUGGAGGAACAUCAGUGGCGAAGGCGGCUUCCUGGUCCAACACUGACGCUGAGGUGCGAAAGCGUGGGGAGCAAACAGG
This 429-nucleotide ribosomal RNA is filed under the name uncultured bacterium. Its description in RNAcentral is "bacterial SSU rRNA". It matches the Rfam family "Bacterial small subunit ribosomal RNA", at positions 354 to 776 of the family's 1533-position model. The record is from RNAcentral.